UUCGCCCUUAGAGUUUGAUCCUGGCUCAGGACGAACGCUGGCGGCGCGCCUAACACAUGCAAGUCGAACGAGAGAGAAGGAGCUUGCUUCUUCGAUCGAGUGGCGAACGGGUGAGUAACGCGUGAGGAACCUGCCUCAAAGAGGGGGACAACAGUUGGAAACGACUGCUAAUACCGCAUAAGCCCACGGGUCGGCAUCGACCUGAGGGAAAAGGAGUGAUCCGCUUUGAGAUGGCCUCGCGUCCGAUUAGCUAGUUGGUGAGGUAAUGGCCCACCAAGGCAACGAUCGGUAGCCGGACUGAGAGGUUGAACGGCCACAUUGGGACUGAGACACGGCCCAGACUCCUACGGGAGGCAGCAGUGGGGAAUAUUGCACAAUGGGGGAAACCCUGAUGCAGCGACGCCGCGUGGAGGAAGAAGGUCUUCGGAUUGUAAACUCCUGUUGUUGAGGAAGAUAAUGACGGUACUCAACAAGGAAGUGACGGCUAACUACGUGCCAGCAGCCGCGGUAAAACGUAGGUCACAAGCGUUGUCCGGAAUUACUGGGUGUAAAGGGAGCGCAGGCGGGAAGACAAGUUGGAAGUGAAAUCUAUGGGCUCAACCCAUAAACUGCUUUCAAAACUGUUUUUCUUGAGUAGUGCAGAGGUAGGCGGAAUUCCCGGUGUAGCGGUGGAAUGCGUAGAUAUCGGGGAGGAACACCCAGUGGCGAAGGCGGCCUACUGGGCACCAACUGACGCUGAGGCUCGAAAGUGUGGGUAGCAAACAGGAUUAGAUACCCUGGUAGUCCACACCGUAAACGAUGAUUACUAGGUGUUGGAGGAUUGACCCCUUCAGUGCCGCAGUUAACACAAUAAGUAAUCCACCUGGGGAGUACGACCGCAAGGUUGAAACUCAAAGGAAUUGACGGGGGCCCGCACAAGCAGUGGAGUAUGUGGUUUAAUUCGACGCAACGCGAAGAACCUUACCAAGUCUUGACAUCCCUUGACGAACAUAGAAAUAUGUUUUCUCUUCGGAGCAAGGAGACAGGUGGUGCAUGGUUGUCGUCAGCUCGUGUCGUGAGAUGUUGGGUUAAGUCCCGCAGCGAGCGCAACCCUUAUGGUCAGUUACUACGCAAGAGGACUCUGGCCAGACUGCCGUUGACAAAACGGAGGAAGGUGGGGAUGACGUCAAAUCAUCAUGCCCUUUAUGACUUGGGCUACACACGUACUACAAUGGCGUUAAACAAAGAGAAGCAAGACCGCGAGGUGGAGCAAAACUCAGAAACAACGUCCCAGUUCGGACUGCAGGCUGCAACUCGCCUGCACGAAGUCGGAAUUGCUAGUAAUCGUGGAUCAGCAUGCCACGGUGAAUACGUUCCCGGGCCUUGCACUCACCGCCCGUCA
This 1381-nucleotide ribosomal RNA is filed under the name uncultured bacterium. RNAcentral's name for it is "16S ribosomal RNA". It matches the Rfam family "Bacterial small subunit ribosomal RNA". The record is from RNAcentral.